CAGACUUUGAUUCUGGCUCAAGACGAACGCUGGCGGCGUGCCUAAUACAUGCAAGUCGAGCGAGCUUGCCUAGAUGAUUUUAGUGCUUGCACUAAAUGAAACUAGAUACAAGCGAGCGGCGGACGGGUGAGUAACACGUGGGUAACCUGCCCAAGAGACUGGGAUAACACCUGGAAACAGAUGCUAAUACCGGAUAACAACACUAGACGCAUGUCUAGAGUUUGAAAGAUGGUUCUGCUAUCACUCUUGGAUGGACCUGCGGUGCAUUAGCUAGUUGGUAAGGUAACGGCUUACCAAGGCAAUGAUGCAUAGCCGAGUUGAGAGACUGAUCGGCCACAUUGGGACUGAGACACGGCCCAAACUCCUACGGGAGGCAGCAGUAGGGAAUCUUCCACAAUGGACGAAAGUCUGAUGGAGCAACGCCGCGUGAGUGAAGAAGGGUUUCGGCUCGUAAAACUCUGUUGGUAGUGAAGAAAGAUAGAGGUAGUAACUGGCCUUUAUUUGACGGUAAUUACUUAGAAAGUCACGGCUAACUACGUGCCAGCAGCCGCGGUAAUACGUAGGUGGCAAGCGUUGUCCGGAUUUAUUGGGCGUAAAGCGAGUGCAGGCGGUUCAAUAAGUCUGAUGUGAAAGCCUUCGGCUCAACCGGAGAAUUGCAUCAGAAACUGUUGAACUUGAGUGCAGAAGAGGAGAGUGGAACUCCAUGUGUAGCGGUGGAAUGCGUAGAUAUAUGGAAGAACACCAGUGGCGAAGGCGGCUCUCUGGUCUGCAACUGACGCUGAGGCUCGAAAGCAUGGGUAGCGAACAAGAUUAGAUACCCUGGUAGUCCAUGCCGUAAACGAUGAGUGCUAAGUGUUGGGAGGUUUCCGCCUCUCAGUGCUGCAGCUAACGCAUUAAGCACUCCGCCUGGGGAGUACGACCGCAAGGUUGCAACUCAAAUGAAUUGACGGA
RNAcentral lists this ribosomal RNA (951 nucleotides) under uncultured Bacillota bacterium. RNAcentral describes it as "bacterial SSU rRNA". It matches the Rfam family "Bacterial small subunit ribosomal RNA", at positions 8 to 917 of the family's 1533-position model. Lineage: Bacteria; Bacillati; Bacillota. The record is from RNAcentral.